UUACAUCAUGGGUUUGCAGAGCAUGCGAAACUCCUAAUGUUGAGAAGGAGUGUUGUCUCUGCCCUGUUAAAGGCAUUCUCAUUGAUAUCCUUAUUUAUGCGUUAAAUACCCAGUUUCAUUUUCUGUUUUUUGAUUCUCAUAGAUUUGAAUGCUGCUUCUGCAGCUUUUGUAGAUGCUGAGAAGAUGGAGCCUGCAGUUGGACUUCUUAGAAUUCCAUCACAUUCUUUUGUAAAGCCAUGUGUUAUUUGCAAGCAGACUCAUGGUUCUUGCACUCAGUGUUACAAGUGUGCCACUUCUUUUCAUUCAAUGUGUGCAUUGAGAGCAGGAUAUCGCAUGGAAUUUGCUUCUUGUGGAAUGCGGGCGUGUAAAGAUUAUAACUUUUGUUUUUAUAACCCACAGAAGAAUCAAGACGAAAACUUUUGGUUUUGAUUUACGUUAUUUAGAUUUGUGAACAACAUUAUGUAUGUAUUAUGCAACAUUAUGUAAUGGGAUAAUUUUUAUUG
Camellia sinensis is the source of this 503-nucleotide non-coding RNA. Lineage: Eukaryota; Viridiplantae; Streptophyta; Magnoliopsida; Ericales; Theaceae. The record is from RefSeq and is a predicted model, not a curated record.